Molecule: long non-coding RNA, 2266 nt
Filed under: Homo sapiens (human)
Lineage: Eukaryota; Metazoa; Chordata; Mammalia; Primates; Hominidae
Description: HSALNT0205520
Source: RNAcentral
GAUCAGAUAAAGGAAACUGUUCGUAAGCUGCUUACUUAAAAAGAAAGGAAAAGGUGCGUUUGAGUUCAGGAGACUGCGAGUCCCAGAGCAGGAGGCGGGAGCCAGCGAAGGGUGGGCGUGUAAGGGGUGCAGUCGCUUCUCCCGCUGGGCAAGAGACUCCCCCUUUCGGCAGCCUGGGUUCCCCGCCUCCCCACCUCCUGCUCCUCCUCCCCCGAGCCCUAAGGGCCCGCAGGGCCUCCAGUAGCAAAGCCACUGGCCCCGCGUCCCCGCGUCCCCCUGCGCCGCGCCCCGGGGCGCAGGCAGGGACCACGCGGCCGGCGUGGGGGCGGCGCCACCCGCAGCAGAAAGCCCCGGCGUGGACCGCGUGGCGUAGGAAAGCGCUCCCCUCGCCCCCAGCCGCAGAGGGCUUGGGCAGCAUCGGGCGCGGCCCCGGGAGAGUGCGUCCGCGGCGCCAGCGGCUGCAGGGUGACCUGUUUCGGGCGGGGACACUCACCAGAAGAACACGCGUGAGCAGAGGACCAAACGACGGUGCCAUGGGAGGCUCUUCAACCUGUGAGCCAAACAUUUGACCUUGGACGACAGCAAAGUUUAGCCACAGAUUAUCCUUGUAGAGCUGCAAGACCUCAAGAAAGCCGGGCUAGUCAAGUGAAGCAGUGGGAGUGGAAAAGGAGCAAAGAAAUCUGUAACUGGUUGUGAUUCCAUGAACUUUUUGAAAUCCCCUUGUAUUGGCUUCCUUCCCUCUUCUGUCUUACUUCUCUACUCCCUACAAGUGUUUUCUGGGAUCACCUCCAAAUAAACUACUUGCAAUCUAAUCCUGUCUCAAGUCUGCUGCUGUGGGAACCCAAACUAAGACACCUGCAAAAAAUAUCCUUCCAAUUACUGAAAAAUAUGUUCACUUGCACCCAUAAAAGUGUUUGCUAAUACCGUAGACCCUUGGCUGUACAAUAUGGUAGCAGUAUCCACAUGAGCAUUUUGGGACUUGAAAUGUGGCUGGUCCCAGUUGAGAUGUUCUGGAAGUAUAAAACACACUGACUUCAAAGACAGUGUCAAGAAAAAUGUGUUUAACGUCUCAUGAAUGAUUUUUUUUACAUGGAUUACAUGUUAAAAUGAUAAUAUUUGGACACAUUAGUUAAAAACAGAAAGUCAGCCCCCCAACAUUUCCAGGUAGAGAACCUAUCAAAGGAGACUGAAGUGAGAAGAAAAAUAGAGUCACAGAAGUGAAGAAAAUGUUUCAAGAAAGGAAAGCUGGAGCCCAUGCUUCUGAGAGGCUGGGAAAUUGAGGACAGAAGAGCAGCCACUGUAUUUAACAACGUGGGGACCUUUGGUGAAUUGAUCAAAUCAGUAUUUUAAAGAGAGGGAGACAGACCCUAAUUAAAAUAUAUUGAGGAGAGAAUGGAAUGUGAAGAUGUAAAGACAGAGGUUAUACACAACUUCUCUGAGAAAUGUUGCUGUGAGGAGAGAGAGAAAAUAUGUAAUUGUAGGAGAGAAAUCCUUGGGAAAGCAGUCCUCCACACCGUGGACUAUUCCAUAGCCAAUUUUAACAACAUAGGUGAUAGGGUUUGGCUCUGUGUCUCCAACCAAAUCUCAUCUCGAAUUGUGAUUGCCACAAUCCCCACAUGUUGAGGGAGAAACCCGAUGGGAGGUGAUUGGAUCGUGGAGGCAGUUGUUACCAUGAUAGUGAGUAUUUUAUAAAGGGCUCUUCCCCCUUCACUCCUUGCUCCCCUCUCUCCUGCCACAAUGUGAAGAAGGUCCUUUUUUCCCCACCUUCUGCCAUGACUGUAAGUUUCCUGAGGCCCCCUCAGCCAUGUGGAACUGUGAGUCAAUUAAAGCAUUUUCCUUUAUAAAUUACCCAGUCUCGGGUAUUUCUUUACAGCAGUGUGAGAAUGAACUAAUAUGAUGGGUGUAGUAGAUGUUGUCAGUGCCUGACCAGAACCCCCAGGCCCUUACCAUUUCACACUAGCCUGACUUCCGGCAUCUCUGCCUCAAAUCCUUCUGCUCCACCAGAGUUGGUUUAGCCCAAGUACAAGGCAGGCCAGGGAGUUAGUGUCUCCCUCUGCCCUCCUCCAGCAACAAUCAACUAAUAGAUAGACAAGAGCUGGUGUAUAAAUAACGGCACUCACUCACUCACUCCUCAGGUAACUGAGGUUUGCGUUUAUACUGUCUCCUAAAUUUCCUCAGCAGGAUUACUCUCCAGUAGCCCAGACUGGGACAUGUCUGAUGAUAUACCCUUUAUUGGCUUCAUUCCCUCCCCUGUCUCACUUCCCCA